AACGAACGCUGGCGGCGCGCCUAAUACAUGCAAGUCGAGCGAGAAGACGUAGCAAUACGUUUGUAAAGCGGCGAACGGGUGAGGAAUACAUGGGUAACCUACCCUCGAGUGGGGAAUAACUAGCCGAAAGGUUAGCUAAUACCGCGUACGCUUCUUGGACUUCGGUUCAGGGAGGAAAGCGAUGCCGAGGGUAUCGCGCUCUUGGAUGGGCUCAUGUCCUAUCAGCUUGUUGGNGAGGUACGGC
Molecule: ribosomal RNA, 244 nt
Filed under: uncultured bacterium
Lineage: Bacteria
Description: partial 16S ribosomal RNA
Rfam family: Bacterial small subunit ribosomal RNA
Source: RNAcentral